CUUGGUGGAAACAGUUUGAGAACAGUGCACAUUACUGAUAAGUAAUGUACACUUUUAUUCGCCCAACAGAUCUUUCUUGGUUGUGAUUUUGUGAGUAGACGUCCAAGGUCGAGUCCUUAUUUGCGUAAGCUUACUUUAUCAGUGAAGUGAGCGGUGGCGAACCGGAGAGAGGCACCAUCGAGCUCCCGGGGAAGCCCAGCGUCGACUCACUCUCUGCGGGGUUUGCAAUCUAUUGUUAGCCGCUCUGGAAUGACCUCAACUUUGCUCCUUGUAAAAAUUUAAAAGAAGCUUUUGAUCACGAUAGAGAUGAAUUUAAAGAACGGUACGGUGAUGUGACAAGGGCGACAGAGGAGAAGGAGGAGGAGUGGGGGGGGGCCCACCAGAGCCAUCAGAGCCAUCAAGGGUGGCUCCGGCCAGGUGUUAUCCGUGUUAAGGCACCGAGACGCGGAGGAAACCCCGAGGAUCACGGCCUCUUGCUCGGAUGACACCGGCCACACUGCAGCUCUCAGCUAGCGUCCGCCAAGCUAACCAAUGUCUUCCAAGGACUGGAAAUAAACGUUGGAAAUGGCUUGUUGGAUUUCUUCAUUGCAGCGAGUGCGUGGGACUUGUUAGUGGUUCUAUUCGCCGCCGGAUGGACACCGCGGAGCCGCUGUGCUUCGGGCCGUGAUUGACAGUUUAAAGAGCUAAAGGCUGCCCCAGGCACGAUGGAAGGACUUCACAGCCAGGCUCUAAGUUUGGACCCUCGCAGGCAGGAAUUGCUCGAAGCCCGCUUCACUGGAGUUGGUGUGGCCAAGAUCAACAGUGAAUCAUCCAGCCAGUCUCUUUGCAGUGUGGGGUCCCUCAGCGACAAGGAAGUCGAGACACUGGAGAAGAAGGUCGAGCACAGAAGCAGGAAGAGAAAAGGAGACACGUGUGACAUCAACCAUCAGGGAAAGGGACGAGGACACAAAACGAGUGAUUACUUUGAGUUUGCCAGCAGCAGCGGUUCCGGCACCUGUCCGGCCCGCGGCAUCCCCAUGCUGGUGCGCUGUUGCUCUUCCCAGCACUCGCUGUCUAAUCCCUCGUUCCAGCAGAGCAGUCCUUCGUCGGCCGGCUCGGCCCACACCGACUCUUCAUCAUGCAGCUCUGUCAAGAUGGUACCCGCACACUUGUGCUCCCACAAAGCCACCCAGUCUGAGCUGACGCUGCUGAAGCUGACGGCGCUGGAGAGGAACAAGAACUCCGACCUGGAGAAGAAAGAGGGGAGGAUCGAUGACCUGCUGAGGGCUAACUGCGACCUGCGGCGCCAGGUGGAAGAGCAGCAGAAGCUGUUGGAGCGCUACAAGGAGCGCCUCAACAAGUGCGUCACCAUGAGCAAGAAGCUCCUCAUCGAAAAGUCAAAGCAUGAGAAGAGGACGUGCCGGGACAAGAGCAUGCAGGAUCGUCUGCGUCUGGGCCACUUCACCACAGUUCGCCACGGCGCCUCCUUCACCGAGCAGUGGGCUGACGGAAUCGCCUUCCAGAACCUCGUCAAGCAACAAGAGCGCGUCAACUCGCAGCGUGAGGACAUAGAGCGGCAGAGGAAGCUGCUGGGGAAAAGGAAGCCGCCCCCCGUGGCCCAGAUGCAGCCGCCCAGCACUGAGCACAACAAACGAAAGAGCAGGAGCAACGGCCAGGAGAAUGAAGCGCUGUCACUUGCAGAGUAUCACGAGCAAGAGGAGAUAUUCAAACUCCGGAUUGGUCAUUUUAAAAAGGAAGAGGCGGAGAUCCAGACGGAACUGGAGCGGUUGGAGCGAGUCCGGAAUCUGCAUAUCCGCGAGCUGAAGAGAAUCCACAACGAGGACAAUUCGCAAUUUAAAGACCACCCGACGCUGAACGACAGAUAUCUGCUCUUGUAUUUACUUGGAAGAGGGGGCUUCAGUGAAGUUUACAAGGCUUUUGAUUUAACAGAGCAAAGGUAUGUGGCUGUUAAAAUCCACCAGCUCAAAAAGAAUUGGCGUGAGGAGAAGAAGCAGAACUACCACAAGCACGCCUGUAGAGAGUACAGAAUACACAAAGAACUGGAUCACCCUAGGAUAGUCAAGCUUUACGACUACUUCUCACUCGACACUGACUCCUUCUGCACUGUUCUGGAGUACUGCGAGGGAAACGACCUGGACUUCUACUUGAAGCAAAACAAGCUUAUGACGGAGAAGGAGGGCCGCUCCGUUGUCAUGCAGAUUGUCAACGCGCUCAAGUACCUCAAUCAGAUCCGGCCGCCCAUCAUCCACUACGACCUCAAGCCAGGAAACAUCCUGUUGGUGAACGGCUCUGCUUGCGGCGAGAUUAAGAUCACCGACUUCGGCCUGUCGAAGAUCAUGGACGACGACAGCUACAGUUCCGCGGACGGCAUGGAGCUGACCUCGCAGGGGGCGGGGACCUACUGGUACCUUCCUCCGGAGUGCUUCGUGGUCGGCAAAGAGCCUCCUAAAAUAUCCAACAAAGUCGAUGUUUGGUCACUCGGGGUCAUCUUCUAUCAGAGCUUAUAUGGACGCAAGCCAUUUGGUCACAACCAAUCCCAGCAGGAUAUCCUUCAAGAGAACACCAUACUCAAAGCUACCGAGGUGCAGUUCCCCCCAAAACCUGUUGUCACCCCAGAAGCAAAGACUUUCAUCCGUCGCUGCCUGGCCUAUCACAAGGAGGACCGCGUGGAUGUGCUCCAGUUGUCACGGGAACCUUACCUAAUGCCUGCCAUCCGAAAGACCCUCGGCGGCAACGCCAGCGUGCCUCCCACUACGCCUCCUUUCCCUUCCACUUCCAGCUGCUACGGCAACAGCGCCUCCAACUGAAAACUGCGAGGUGACCCAGGCCAGCCCCCAUUUGAGGUUGGUGAGCAUGAACUUGAGCGCCUUGGUCCACUGCUCCUCUGAGUUGAACUGAGUCUUGAUGGAGUACGAGCCGCCGCUGCCGCCCGUGUCCUCGAUCUUGCCCUUCUCCACGUCCAUCCUGACGUCGCGCACACACGCACAUCCAGAGAUGUGAAGAAGGUGCAUUAUUCUGAGCACCCAUGUGAGCCCCCCGACCUCUGGAAGCGCAGUCCCAUCUUGUUGGCCAGCGCGUGCAGCAGCAGCACCGUCUGCCCCCAGGCCGCGUUGAUCUCGUUCCACUCCACGGGCACGCUCGGAAGUCGACCCAAACGGAAGUUGUUGAUGGUGCCGAACUGGCCGCUGUGCCUGGGCGGGACGGAACCAUUCAAACAUUGAAACUGCUGGGCCUGCGCCCGGCUCUGCGUCAGCUCUUGGGCCACGGCGGCCCGUUGCGCCUCGACCGCCUCCAGCUGCUGCACCAGCGCCGCCUCCUCCUCCUUGAGAUGCUGCAGCUCGUCCAGCAACGUCUCCUCGUCCUCCACUUGCAGCUGCGACAGGAGCUCCAGACACUGCCUGAACACAAUACAACAAAGUGGUCCAACAGAGUGUCGGUACAUUCCUCACACAGCGGGUGGUCCACAUCCGUCUGACCGGACAUGAUGUCAAACAGGCACGUUACCUUGAGUCUGCGGCUUAGAUUUUCCAUGGUGCCUCCGUCGGAAGCGUCGCCGAUCAGCGUGAAGCUGUUGGCGCUCUCUGUGGACAUCAUCCUGCUGACAUGGCCCACAGUGAAAAAUAGCUAUACUGUAUAUCUCUCAGCAUACUAGUUUUAGCAUGAUCUUACAGGAAAAAAUGUGCCUCUAAUUUACCCCAGUAGAGUAAUUUGUGCAACCAACUAAGGUAUUUUUUACUUUCUAGCAGAAGCUAGAGCUAAUUCAUGAUUCUUUCAACAAGAAAAUUUAAUUGUACACUUUGAUAAAGAUUAAAAAAAAUAUAUAAAUAACUGUUGUAAAUUGUACAAAUUAAGAUAAUUACUAUAUAUUUAAGUAAUAUUUAAAUAAUUGUGUAUCAAGUUGACAAAAUUCAAAUUCUAAUCAAAUAUAUACAAAACUAAAAUUCUAAACAAAUUUACAAAAUACACUAAAAUAUUUAUUAUAUAAAAUUAUGAUACAUUUUUUAAAAAUAAAAUUAAAAUGCUUACCGUGCAGGUGGGAUGUAUUUCCUUGACACGCCAUCUUGCUUGUUUUCCACAAAGGUCUCCUGAAAUUUAAAUGAAUCUGAAUUAAUUUUAUAGGUUAAAAUUAGUGCAGUGCAGUAGAGUACAGUGCAAGGUGCAUUUAUAUUUACCUCUGUUGUAGUGUCUCCUUCACCGCAAUCUGCCUGUUUGCUCGGCGUGACAGUCACCAAAGGAGCUAAGGGGGGCCAUGCAGAAGCAACACAUUGUAACAGAAUGUAGAGGACAGCAACAAUAAAAUAGUAUUCAAAUAAAAUGUAACUUUA
Phyllopteryx taeniolatus (common seadragon) is the source of this 4325-nucleotide RNA transcript. It is a transcript of the gene named serine/threonine-protein kinase tousled-like 2, with no coding region annotated. The record is from RefSeq and is a predicted model, not a curated record. The transcript has 26 exons. NCBI's taxonomy places the organism in Eukaryota, Metazoa, Chordata, Actinopteri, Syngnathiformes, Syngnathidae.